Molecule: long non-coding RNA, 2456 nt
Filed under: Homo sapiens (human)
Lineage: Eukaryota; Metazoa; Chordata; Mammalia; Primates; Hominidae
Description: non-protein coding lnc-ATXN1-2:1
Source: RNAcentral
GCGGGCGCCGAGUGCUGCGGGAAGGGAGGGAGACCCCGGAACACACCAGCCGCCUCUGUCCGCUGGGCGACGCUGCUCAGAGUGAGCGAUCGCCCGGGGCUCCAGGCGGGGACGCCUUUCUGCCGUCUCGAAUUUACGGUGAUUAAACACCUCCAAGCUGCCACUGUUCUUCAAAUAUCUUGGAUCACUCUGAGCACGCAUUUCGGUUGUGAAAGCAAAAAGGAAAAGGAGCAACCCAAAGCCUAAAGAAAACUGUUCUCGUCCGGGCAUGGUGGCUCACGCCUGUAAUCCCAGCACUUUGGGAGGCCGAGAUGGGUGGAUCACCUGAGGUCAGAUUCGAGACCAGCCUGGCAAACAUGGUGAAACCCCCGUCUCUACUAAAAAUACAAAAAAAAAAACAAAAUAGCCAGGCGUGGUGGCGGGCACCUGUAAUCCCAGCUACCUGGGAGGCUGAGGCAGGAGAAUCGCUUGAACCCAGGAGGCGGAGGUUGCAGUGAGCUGAGAUUGUGUCACUGCACUGUAGCUUGGGCAAGAAGAGCAAAAAACCCUGUCUCAAAAAAAAAAAAAAAAAAAAAAAAAAAAAGAAAAGAAAAAGAAAAAAGAAAAAAAAAAGAGAAAAAGAAAACUCUUUUCCACCAGGAUUAGCCACAGUGGGUUGCUUGGAGGCAGAAUUGUUGUUCCUUAUUAAGACCUCAUCAUUGAGAAAAACAAAAUCUGAGUAUGAAAGUUUUUGCAGCUGACCAGUGAGCCAGGUGUCUUGGUCUAGUGCUGGUGUGUUACACUCCGGAAGGGCUUCUCCUUACUCGUUCUGCUGAAUCAAAACGCCUUACAGGGUACCAGGCCCUCUCUCAGGUUGCUCAUUCUACCUCCUGUCUUAUCUCACUCAUUCAUUAAACAUUUGUGCAGCACCUGAUACCCUGCCUGUCCCUUCUCACAGGCAACCAGAUGUUGUCCUCGUCUUAAGGAGCCAGAUGAUGUGGGUUUCAGCCGUGGAAACUUAGCAAACUUACUUCAGGCCAGCUCGAUGGCUCACACCUGUAAUCCCAGCACUUUUGGAGGCCGAGGCAGGAGGAUCGCCUGAGCCCAGCAGUUUGAGACCAGCCCGGUUUCGCAACACAGCGAAACCCCAUCUCUACACAAAAUACAAAAAAUUAGCCAGGCGUGGUGGCGCCUGCCUGUAGUCUCAGCUACAUGGGAGGCUGAGGUGGGAGGAUCACUUGAGCCUGGGAGUUCGAGGCUGCAGUGUGCUGUGAUCCCCCUACUGCACUCCAGCCUAGGCGACAGAGCAAAAGACCCUGUCUCUAAACAACAACAACAACAAAAAGAAAACAACGAAAGAAAAAAAAAGAGAAAACUUACUUCAUCUGUCUGAAGCUUGGUGUUGUCAACAGUAAAAUGGAGAUGGCAAUAUCUGCUCUGUCUCCACCCAGCAUUGUUGGGAAGCGCAGCAAAGAUAAUAACGUUCACAAAAGCAUUUGAAUGUCCCCGUGUAUGUAAGGGGAGCUAUAAGUUCAGUGCCUUCACUGCUUAAUGAUGACUUUUCCUGUCCCUACCCCCCUUCACGAGUCCCAAGGAUCUGUUAGUGGCCUUUAUUUCCGAACAACCAGGUACGAUAUCAGAGCCCAAGGCUAAAAAAAAAGGAGGGAUCCUCCCACACACAGUUCUUUGCUAAAGCUGACCGAGUAAAACUGUAAACUGUCCAAGUCCUAACCCCCACUGUUGCAGAGGAACAGGUGCACUCUCACAUCUUUCUGUCUUAUAAAUACACCUCAUGCUAUUGUGGGCUGAAACAGUCCCUUCUUGUAUUAACUGCAGUGCCUAUUCCCUGAAUUCCAGUUUACUAAUAAUCUGGGGAAUUUAUCUGGAAGAUAGCGUUUGGUUCAUUCCUUGUCUACUUUAUGCUUAAUUGCUAGAAGUUUCAGAAGAGGAAGAAGAGGCGAGGGGCAAUAGGGAGACCAGUUAUAUUGGUUAGUAUUUUUGUUUAUGAACAAUAGAAACUAAAGCUGGCUAACUGGAAACUCAUAGAAUCAAUGGGACCAGGUGUGGAAAUGAGUAGAACGGGAAAAUAUUGGUUGGCCAAGAAAAAAAAAAUAAACAAAAAUAAAACAAGCAAACACCCAAACCAAAUACCCACUUUGUGGACUACUUUAAAAAUAACUUAUAUUUUUGGUUUUAGCAGGGAUUUUUCUUUUGCAAGUAUGAUUUCAUUGUUUUUUUAAAAAAUCUAAGCUUGUAAAAUAGUUUGUAGAAGCAUAGGUAAAAUCUGACAUGUUUAUUUUAUUUAAAACUUUUUGGCCAGGCGUGGUGGCUCAUGCCUGUCAUCCCAGAGCCCUGGGAGGCCGAGGCAGGCAGAUCCCUUGAGCCCAGGAGUUUGAGAUCAGCCUGAGCAAAAUGGCAAAACCCCAUCUCUACUAAAAAUAUAAAAAAUUAGCCAGGCAUGAUGGCAUGUGUCUGUA